RNAcentral lists this ribosomal RNA (408 nucleotides) under Culicoides enderleini. RNAcentral's name for it is "partial 16S ribosomal RNA". The record is from RNAcentral. Lineage: Eukaryota; Metazoa; Arthropoda; Insecta; Diptera; Ceratopogonidae.
CUUGACCGUGCCCAAGGUAGCAUAAUCAUUUGUCUUUUAAUUAAAGGCUUGUAUGAAUGGUUGGAUGAGAUAUAAUCUAUUUUUAUUUAAUUAAAAAUGAAUUUUAAUUUUUAGUAAAAAUGCUAAAAUAAAAAAUAUAGACGAGAAGACCCUAUAAAUCUUUAUUAUUUUUUUAUUAAUUUAUUAAUAGAAAAAAAAAUUUAUUAUUAGAAAAAUAAUUUUAUUGGGGUGAUAAUGAAAUUUAAUAAACUUUUAUUUUAUUUUAUAAAUAUAAUUAAUUUAAUGAUCCAUUUUUAAUGAUUAUAAAAUUAAGUUACUUUAGGGAUAACAGCGUAAUUAUUUUAAAGAGUUCAUAUCGAUAAAAUAGUUUGCGACCUCGAUGUUGAAUUAAGAGUAAGUUACGGUGCG